Molecule: long non-coding RNA, 390 nt
Filed under: Chrysolophus pictus (golden pheasant)
Lineage: Eukaryota; Metazoa; Chordata; Aves; Galliformes; Phasianidae
Description: lncRNA (ENSCPIG00010011882.1)
Source: RNAcentral
UGACUGGGUCCUUGAGAGACCUACUGUUUGUUAAGAUCAUGGAAAUUUGCAAAGGCUUAAGAAGAAUUCUGUGACAAAGAUGUAGUUCAGCACUUUUCCAGUUACAGAGGAAACAUGAGCAGUACACACAUAUGAGACACUUCAGUCUCGUGAGAAGCAGAUCUUGCAGGGUUUCCUGGACAGGAUCAAGAACCACUGGAAAUAUUCAGAUAAUUAACUGGAAAUCAUGAAAGCAGACUGUCUGGCAGGUUCUGUUUCGAAUAAACUUUGGAUUGAAAGUGAACUUUUCGGAAUCCUAAGAAAUAGCUUAUGCUUUGAAGGAAAAAAAAAAAAUGCCAUCAAGUGCCUUGAAGUCCAGAUCAGUGCAGACUGGUGGUCCUGCUACCUGCC